UAAUUUUUGGGUUUGUUUUUUUCAUGUCUCUCUCUUUUUUGGGAAAACACUGGCUAUUAGUGUUGGGAUUAAAUAGUUUGGGCAGUGGGGCAUUUUGCUGAGUGGGUAUAAGCCUGUUUGUAAAGUUUGGAUGAGAUGGAUAGUUUGGGAAACAUCUACAGUUGCUCUUCUCUGACUGUCAGAAAGAGUAUUUGGUGACAUGCCCUCAACAGACCAGAAGAAAUAAGGAAGCAUCCCCCCUUGGGUAGCCAAGGUGCUGUUAAUAAAAGCCUCUUUUCCUGGCACCUGUGACCCUGUGAACACAUCCAAAAGACUCAUGAGUGGGCUGCAUGCCUCUUGACAGAAAUGCAUCUGCAGAGGAUAAUACACAACAUGGCCAAAGGUUUAAGCAGCCCAAGGAGAGAGCACCAUUGGUAUAUUUUGCUACAAGAUUUGCCCUAGUCCCAUCAUUAAUAUGGAUGUGAUAAAAAAUAACAACAACAAGAACUGCAAGAUUAUGUAAAAAAUGGCAGCAAUUAUGGUGUUACCAUAAUGAGAACAAUGAAUAUAGCAAAACCUAAGUUUGAAUUGGAAUGCAUGCACAUAUCUUCUCAGAAGGUCUCUGUGGUAUCUUUGAUCUACCUUCUGAUUGUUAUAAUGUUCUGCUUUCUGCUAGCAGAAGUGAUUGCCAUGUGAAAGCAUUCAGGCAUAGUUAUCCAAGGUUCAAGUGUGGUAAAAUAAACUUGUAGUUAAAGAAGCUGAUCAUGGAUCAGGCUAGCUGAAAAUGCUCUAAAAAAAAAGUCUUUCAAAGAGAAAGCUAGGUUUUGGAUUAAACUAAAAUUCUCGUGGAAAGUGUUUCCAUUGGCAAGAGAAGAAAAUACCCGCAAGCCAUUUUUCCAAAUUUUUUGGCCUUACAUUUUUCAGAUGUUAGAAAGUAUUGGCAAAAGUUGAAAUCCUUAGUCUAGGAAAAAGAGUACCAUUUUUUGGCGAUCACUAUUAAAAAAAUCUGUAUGCA
Molecule: long non-coding RNA, 994 nt
Organism: Alligator sinensis (Chinese alligator)
Lineage: Eukaryota; Metazoa; Chordata; Crocodylia; Alligatoridae
Exons: 4
Source: RefSeq, a predicted model, not a curated record